AAUGAACGCUGGCGGCAUGCCUAACACAUGCAAGUCGAACGAAGGCUUCGGCCUUAGUGGCGCACGGGUGCGUAACGCGUGGGAAUCUGCCCCUUGGUUCGGAAUAACAGUUGGAAACGACUGCUAAUACCGGAUGAUGACGUAAGUCCAAAGAUUUAUCGCCGAGGGAUGAGCCCGCGUAGGAUUAGGUAGUUGGUGUGGUAAAGGCGCACCAAGCCGACGAUCCUUAGCUGGUCUGAGAGGAUGAUCAGCCACACUGGGACUGAGACACGGCCCAGACUCCUACGGGAGGCAGCAGUGGGGAAUAUUGGACAAUGGGCGAAAGCCUGAUCCAGCAAUGCCGCGUGAGUGAUGAAGGCCUUAGGGUUGUAAAGCUCUUUUACCCGGGAUGAUAAUGACA
Molecule: ribosomal RNA, 400 nt
Filed under: uncultured bacterium
Lineage: Bacteria
Description: bacterial SSU rRNA
Rfam family: Bacterial small subunit ribosomal RNA
Source: RNAcentral